This 324-nucleotide ribosomal RNA is filed under the name uncultured eukaryote. RNAcentral's name for it is "partial 18S ribosomal RNA". It matches the Rfam family "Eukaryotic small subunit ribosomal RNA", at positions 1470 to 1796 of the family's 1831-position model. The record is from RNAcentral.
CCCUUAGAUGUUCUGGGCCGCACGCGCGCUACACUGAUGAAUUCAACGAGCACUAACCUGUGCCGAAAGGUUCGGGUAAUCUUGUGAAAUUUCAUCGUGAUGGGGAUUGAUUAUUGCAAUUUUUAAUCAUAAACGAGGAAUGCCUAGUAAGCGUGAGUCAUCAGCUCACGUUGAUUACGUCCCUGCCCUUUGUACACACCGCCCGUCGCUCCUACCGAUUGAGUGGUCCGGUGAAUUAUUCGGACUGCAACGCGUUCAGCUUCUGGAUGCAGUUGCGGAAAGUUUUGUAAACCUUAUCACUUAGAGGAAGGAGAAGUCGUAACA